RNAcentral lists this non-coding RNA (43 nucleotides) under Trypanosoma brucei brucei. Lineage: Eukaryota; Euglenozoa; Kinetoplastea; Trypanosomatida; Trypanosomatidae. The record is from RNAcentral.
AUAUAUAAGCAUACAAAAACUGCAAUAUUUACAGUGAUGAUGA